UACGUAGGGUGCGAGCGUUAAUCGGAAUUACUGGGCGUAAAGGGCGCGCAGGCGGCGUCGCAAGUCAGGCGUGAAAUCCCCGGGCUUAACCUGGGAACUGCACUUGAAACUACGAUGCUGGAGUAUGGCAGAGGGAGGUGGAAUUCCACGUGUAGCGGUGAAAUGCGUAGAUAUCAGGAGGAACACCGGUGGCGAAGGCGGGUCUCUGGGCAGUAACUGACGCUGAGGAGCGAAAGCGUGGGGAGCGAACAGG
This 253-nucleotide ribosomal RNA is filed under the name uncultured bacterium. RNAcentral describes it as "partial 16S ribosomal RNA". It matches the Rfam family "Bacterial small subunit ribosomal RNA", at positions 524 to 776 of the family's 1533-position model. The record is from RNAcentral.